CCCAAGCUCGAAGCGAUAUGUGAGCGCACCCCUGAUAAGGGUGAGGUCGGUAGUUCGACUCUACCCAGGCCCACCAUCUUAGCCAAGCACCUUCACGGGGCUGUAGCUCAGCUGGGAGAGCACCUGCUUUGCAAGCAGGGGGUCACCGGUUCGAUCCCGGUCAGCUCCACCAAAUCCUAUUCGGCUGCUUCCAGAUCGGGGCCUUCGGCAUUCAUGUUGAAGACUUCAAUCUGGAAGCAGGCUGGUGAUUCAGUCGGUCUUUAACUGAAUCUGUCCGGCAGGUUUCAACGGCCCCAGGGCCGGUCCUUCUCGCGAAAGAGAAGGUUUGGAUGUUUGACAACGAAAUUGAUUGGGUAACGCGAUUGGAGAGCUGCGUGUCCGCCGUGAGGCGCACAGGUCAGCAGCAAAAGUUUCCAAGAGCGUAUACAUACAAGGCCGAGCACAAGCAUGAGUCAGCAAUGAUUCAGGCAAGUGUUCAAGUAAGAAGAGUGUCUUUAGGAGAUGUAAUUCGAACCCGCGUGAGCGUGGUCGAGUUACUCUCAAGGCGAAUAACUGGGACUAACUUGAGGCAGGACUGAAGUGAUUCAGCUCCCUGCGCUGGAGUUAAUUCUAUGGUCAAGCUACUAAGGGCGCACGGUGGAUGCCUUGGCAGAGACAGGCGAUGAAGGACGUGGCAAGCUGCGAUAAGCUUCGGUAAGCCGCACACAGGCGUUAUAACCGGAGAUUU
This 727-nucleotide unclassified non-coding RNA is filed under the name uncultured Acidobacteriota bacterium. RNAcentral's name for it is "uncultured Acidobacteria bacterium partial contains 16S ribosomal RNA, 16S-23S ribosomal RNA intergenic spacer, and 23S ribosomal RNA". The stretch from base 614 to 727 matches the Rfam family "Bacterial large subunit ribosomal RNA", at positions 1 to 113 of the family's 2925-position model. The record is from RNAcentral. Lineage: Bacteria; Pseudomonadati; Acidobacteriota.